UACAGAGGUCUCAAGCGUUGUUCGGAUUCAUUGGGCGUAAAGGGCGCGUAGGUGGCUUCUUAAGCGUGCGGUGAAAGCCUGGGGCUCAACCCCGGGUCGGCCGUGCGAACUGGGGGGCUGGAGCACUGUAGAGGCAGGCGGAAUUCCGGGUGUAGCGGUGGAAUGCGUAGAGAUCCGGAAGAACACCGGUGGCGAAGGCGGCCUGCUGGGCAGUUGCUGACACUGAGGCGCGACAGCGUGGGGAGCAAACAGG
This 253-nucleotide ribosomal RNA is filed under the name uncultured bacterium. Its description in RNAcentral is "partial 16S ribosomal RNA". It matches the Rfam family "Bacterial small subunit ribosomal RNA", at positions 524 to 776 of the family's 1533-position model. The record is from RNAcentral.